This is a non-coding RNA of Phellopilus nigrolimitatus, 83 nucleotides long. Lineage: Eukaryota; Fungi; Basidiomycota; Agaricomycetes; Hymenochaetales; Hymenochaetaceae. The record is from the annotation of a GenBank genome assembly.
GCCUUUAUAGCUCAGUGGUAGAGCGCGCCACUCGUAUGUUAGAGAUAAUGGUGAGGUCGGUUGUUCAAUCCAGCCUGGAGGCA